CGUGGCCGCCGGUCUUCGCCGUGUAAAGCCCCUUCGACGAGUCGAGUUGUUUGGGAAUGCAGCUCUAAAUGGGAGAUACAUUUCUUCUAAAGCUAAAUAUUGGCCAGAGACCGAUAGCGCACAAGUAGAGUGAUCGAAAGAUGAAAAGCACUUUGGAAAGAGAGUCAAAAAGCACGUGAAAUUGUUGAAAGGGAAGCGCUUGCAGCCAGACGUGCCCGCAGUUGCUCACCCAGGCUCUUGCCUGGGGCACUCUUCUGCGGGCAGGCCAGCAUCAGUUCGGGCGGUUGGAUAAAGGUCUCUAUCACGUACCACCCUUCGGGGUGUCCUUAUAGGGGAGACGCAACACGGCCAGCCUGAACUGAGGACCGCGGAUGCUG
RNAcentral lists this ribosomal RNA (377 nucleotides) under Roussoella sp. RNAcentral describes it as "partial large subunit ribosomal RNA". It matches the Rfam family "Eukaryotic large subunit ribosomal RNA", at positions 222 to 628 of the family's 3401-position model. Lineage: Eukaryota; Fungi; Ascomycota; Dothideomycetes; Pleosporales; Thyridariaceae. The record is from RNAcentral.